Molecule: ribosomal RNA, 497 nt
Filed under: uncultured bacterium
Lineage: Bacteria
Description: partial 16S ribosomal RNA
Rfam family: Bacterial small subunit ribosomal RNA
Source: RNAcentral
GAUGAACGCUGGCGGCGUGCCUAAUACAUGCGAGUCGAGCGAACAGACGAGGAGCUUGCUCCUCUGACGUUAGCGGCGGACGGGUGAGUAACACGUGGAUAACCUACCUAUAAGACUGGGAUAACUUCGGGAAACCGGAGCUAAUACCGGAUAAUAUUUUGAACCGCAUGGUUCAAUAGUGAAAGACGGUUUUGCUGUCACUUAUAGAUGGAUCCGCGCUGCAUUAGCUAGUUGGUAAGGUAACGGCUUACCAAGGCAACGAUGCGUAGCCGACCUGAGAGGGUGAUCGGCCACACUGGAACUGAGACACGGUCCAGACUCCUACGGGAGGCAGCAGUAGGGAAUCUUCCGCAAUGGGCGAAAGCCUGACGGAGCAACGCCGCGUGAGUGAUGAAGGUCUUCGGAUCGUAAAACUCUGUUAUUAGGGAAGAACAUAUGUGUAAGUAACUAUGCACAUCUUGACGGUACCUAAUCAGAAAGCCACGGCUAACUACGUG